RNAcentral lists this ribosomal RNA (440 nucleotides) under uncultured bacterium. Its description in RNAcentral is "partial 16S ribosomal RNA". It matches the Rfam family "Bacterial small subunit ribosomal RNA", at positions 338 to 795 of the family's 1533-position model. The record is from RNAcentral.
CCUACGGGUGGCAGCAGUGGGGGAUAUUGCACAAUGGGGGAAACCCUGAUGCAGCGACGCCGCGUGUGGGAAGACGGUCCUCUGGAUUGUAAACCACUGUCCCCAGGGACGAAGCUGACGGUACCUGGGGAGGAAGCUCCGGCUAACGACGUGCCAGCAGCCGCGGUAAUACGUAGGGAGCGGGCAUUGUCCGGAAUUACUGGGUGAAAAGGGAGCGUAGGCGGGACUGCAAGUUGGGUGUCAAAUCUACCGGCUCAACCGGUAGCCGCACUCAAAACUGCAGUUCCUGAGUGAAGGAGAGGCAGGCGGAAUUCCUAGUGUAGCGGUGAAAUGCGUAGAUAUUAGGAGGAACACCAGUGGCGAAGGCGGCCUGCUGGGCUUUUACUGACGCUGAGGCUCGAAAGUGUGGGGAGCAAACAGGAUUAGAUACCCGAGUAGUC